CGCCAACCUACGACGGCCCGAUUCGCCUGCGUCAGGGGCUGGGACAGUCGAAGAACGUGGUGAUGGUGCGUGCGAUGCGUGCGAUGGGUGUC
This 92-nucleotide transfer RNA is filed under the name Serratia proteamaculans. RNAcentral's name for it is "tRNA-Ser(cag)". The record is from RNAcentral. Lineage: Bacteria; Pseudomonadati; Pseudomonadota; Gammaproteobacteria; Enterobacterales; Yersiniaceae.